UUACUCUCGAGUAUGACUGGAAAACUACCACAAAAGGACAAUUGCAACUGGAGAUAUCGUAUAUCGGCCAAAACAAUGACCUGAAGGACCAAACAUCGAUUACGGUAGUAUUGCUUGUGGCCCGGCCAACAACAGUAUUAGACAACCACUUCAUUCAUCUCCAUCAUUCUUCAUGAAGGGCUCACUUCUCCUUUUUAGUAGUACAAAAUAAUCGACGCAUCUACUAUAAAUUAUUCUCGUGUAAAAGGUUUAAUUUGUGUAUAUAUGCAAUAAUCCCAAUGGCAUGAACAGAACAGAAAGACGGCAACCUUUCAAACCACCGUAC
RNAcentral lists this small RNA (325 nucleotides) under Cryptococcus neoformans H99. Its description in RNAcentral is "Cryptococcus neoformans var. grubii H99 hypothetical RNA". Lineage: Eukaryota; Fungi; Basidiomycota; Tremellomycetes; Tremellales; Cryptococcaceae. The record is from RNAcentral.